RNAcentral lists this transfer RNA (75 nucleotides) under Bacteroidetes bacterium ADurb.Bin123. RNAcentral's name for it is "tRNA-Ile". It matches the Rfam family "tRNA". Rfam says of the family: Transfer RNA (tRNA) molecules are approximately 80 nucleotides in length. Their secondary structure includes four short double-helical elements and three loops (D, anti-codon, and T loops). The record is from RNAcentral. Lineage: Bacteria; Pseudomonadati; Bacteroidota.
GCCCGGUUAGUGUAACUGUCCAACACACCUGCAUGAUAUGCAGGAGAUCAGCGGUUAGAAUCCGUUACCGGGUAC